CUAAGAGCUGCUGGUGGAUGCCUUGGUAUCAACAGGCGAUGAAGGACGUGCUAACCUGCGAUAAGCUUCGGGGAGUUGGAUAGAAACUAUGAUCCGGAGAUGUCCGAAUGGGGGAACCCAAUGGGAGUAAUGACCCAUCAUUCUCAACUGAAUACAUAGGUUGAGAAAGCUAGACCUGCUGAAGGGACACAUCUCAGUAAGCAGAGGAAAAGAAAUCUAUAAGAGAUUCCCAUAGUAGCGGCGAGCGAAGUGGGAAUAGCCCAAACCAAGAAUUUAUUCUUGGGGUUGUAGGGCCAGUCAAUAAAGCCUUUGGCAUAUUUUAGCAGAAGCUUCUGGAAAGAAGCGCGACACAGGGUGAUAGCCCCGUACGCGAAAAGAUAUGUAAAGGCGAGAUUGGUACCUGAGUAAGACCGACCACGGGAAAUUCGGUCUGAAUCUGGGGGGACCACCCUCCAAGGCUAAAUACUAGUUGAUGACCGAUAGUGAACCAGUACCGCGAGGGAAAGGUGAAAAGAACCCCUGUUAGGGGAGUGAAAUAGAACCUGAAACCAGCAGCUUACAAACGGUCGAAGGCCUAUGGCCCUUUUAGGGCAAUGGCUGACGGCGUGCCUUUUGCAUGAUGAGCCAGCGAGUUAAGCUGAACGGCAAGGUUAAGGGACAAUACGUUCCGGAGCCAUAGCGAAAGCGAGUGUGAAUAGCGCGUUUAGUCGUUCGGUUUAUACACGAAACCAAGUGAUCUAUCCAUGACCAGGAUGAAACAGGGGUAACACCCUGUGGAGGUCCGAACCAGUGUCUGUUGAAAAAGCCUUGGAUGAGUUGUGGAUAGGGGUGAAAGGCCAAUCAAACUUGGAGAUAUCUUGUUCUCUCCGAAAUAACUUUAGGGUUAACCUCAGUAUCGACUCUUUUAGGGGUAGAGCACUGAAUCCAUUAGGGAGGCUUACCGCCUUACCGACGGGAAUCAAACUCCGAAUACUAGAAGAGCAGCUGGGAGAUAGACUGUGGGGGAUAAGCUUCAUAGUCAAAAGGGGAACAGCCCAGAUCGUCGAUUAAGGCCCCAAAUUCUAUGCUAAGUGAGUAAGGAAGUGAAGUUUCAAAGACAGUUGGGAUGUUGGCUUAGAGGCAGCCAUCAUUUAAAGAGUGCGUAACAGCUCACCAAUCGAGAGACUUUGCGCCGAAAAUUUACGGGACUAAAGCAUAGAGCCGAAAUCACGGGUGUACACCGCAAGGUGUACGCGGUAGGAGAGCGUAGUAUGUGCGCAGAAGAUAUACCGUAAGGAGUAUUGGAGCGCAUACUAGCGAGGAUGCAUGGCAUGAGUAAACGAUAAAGAAGGUGAAAAUCCUUCUCGCCGAAAACCUAAGGUUUCCAGGGUAAAGCUCGUCUUCCCUGGGUUAGCCGGUACCUAAGCUAAGGCUGAAAAGCGUAGGCGAUGGAAAGCAGGUUAAAUAUUCCUGCGCCACCUAAAACUAUGACAAUGGGGUGACGAAGGACGUUAAGCGUGCGGACGAUUGGAAAUGUCCGUGACACUAUGGGGCUGGCUAGUAGGUAAAUCCGCUAGCGUAAUGCUUGGUAGUGGCCAAGGGGAACCCUCGGGGGAACCGAUGACGUGGCGCGAAGCUUCCAAGAAAUAACCUCUAGUCGUUGAUGGUGACCGUACCAAAACCGACACAGGUGGGUGUGAAGAAUAUUCUCAGGCGCGCGAGAUAACUCUCGUUAAGGAACUCUGCAAAUUACCCUCGUAACUUCGGGAAAAGAGGGGCCUGAAACCGUGACUACUUGACUGUAGGUGCGGAAUCAGGUCGAAGCGAAAUGGCCCAGGCGACUGUUUAACAAAAACACAGCACUAUGCGAAGUCGUCUAAGACGAUGUAUAUGGUGUGAAGCCUGCCCAAUGCCCAAAGGUCAAAAGGAGGUGUCAGCCCGCAAGGGCGAAGCACUGAAUUUAAGCCCGGGUGAAUGGCGGCCGUAACUAUAACGGUCCUAAGGUAGCGAAAUUCCUUGUCGGGUAAGUUCCGACCUGCACGAAUGGCCUAACGAUCUGGGCACUGUCUCAACGGGAGACUCGGUGAAAUUGUAGUAGCGGUGAAGAUGCCGUUUACCCGCAACAAGACGGAAAGACCCCGUGAACCUUUACUAUACUCUGAUACUGGCUUCUGACUUUCCAUGUGUAGGAUAACCGGGAGACGUUGAAGAGGGCUCGUUAGGGCUCUUGGAGUCACCGUUGAAAUACCGGUCUUGGGGAGUCGGAAGUCUAACAAAGACCCAUGAAACUGGGUUUUGGACAAUGUCAGACGGGUAGUUUGACUGGGGCGGUAUCCUCCCAAAAAGUAACGGAGGAGUCCAAAGCUUACCUCAUCGCGGUUGGCAAUCGCGAGUAGAGCGUAAAGGUAUAAGGUAGGUUAACUGAGAGACCGACAAGUCAAUCAGAUACGAAAGUAGGGCUUAGUGAUCCGGCGGUAGAAAGUGGAAUCGCCGUCGCUUAACGGAUAAAAGGUACUCCGGGGAUAACAGGCUUAUCGCCACCAAGAGUUCAUAUCGACGUGGCGGUUUGGCACCUCGAUGUCGACUCAUCGCAUCCUGGGGCUGGAGAAGGUCCCAAGGGUUUGGCUGUUCGCCAAUUAAAGCGGUACGCGAGUUGGGUUCAAAACGUCGUGAGACAGUUUGGUCCCUAUCUGUUGUGGGCGCAGGAUAUUUGAGAAGAGCUACUUCUAGUACGAGAGGACCGAAGUGGACGAACCAAUGGUGUGCCGGUUGUACUGCCAAGUGCACAGCCGGGUAGCUAUGUUCGGAAAGGAUAAGCGUUGAAAGCAUCUAAACGCCAAGCCUCCUUCAAGAUAAGAUAUCCCUAUGAGACUACCGGAAGACUACCGGUUUGAUAGGUUGGAUGUGUACGCACAGCAAUGUGUUGAGCUAACCAAUACUAAUGAGUCCAUUGGCUUGAUU
RNAcentral lists this ribosomal RNA (2940 nucleotides) under Chlamydiae bacterium Ga0074140. RNAcentral's name for it is "bacterial LSU rRNA". It matches the Rfam family "Bacterial large subunit ribosomal RNA". The record is from RNAcentral. Lineage: Bacteria; Pseudomonadati; Chlamydiota.